RNAcentral lists this microRNA precursor (74 nucleotides) under Myotis brandtii (Brandt's bat). RNAcentral's name for it is "mir-9193 microRNA precursor family". It matches the Rfam family "mir-9193 microRNA precursor family". Lineage: Eukaryota; Metazoa; Chordata; Mammalia; Chiroptera; Vespertilionidae. The record is from Rfam by way of RNAcentral.
GGUGGGGGGGCAGUGUCACUCAGCCCAGAUUGCAAGAGGGCGCAGGCCAGGCCGAGGGACCCCACCGGUGCACA